GAUGAACGCUGGCGGCGUGCCUAAUACAUGCAAGUCGAGCGAACAGAUGAGGAGCUUGCUCCGCUGACGUUAGCGGCGGACGGGUGAGUAACACGUGGAUAACCUACCUAUAAGACUGGGACAACUUCGGGAAACCGGAGCUAAUCCCGGAGAAUAUAUUGAACCGCAUGGGUCAAUAGUGAAAGACGGUUUUGCUGUCACGUAUAGAUGGAUCCGCGCCGCAUUAGCUAGUUGGUAAGGUAACGGGUUACCAAGGCAACGAUGCGUAGCCGACCUGAGAGGGUGAUCGGCCACCCUGGAGCUUGGCCACGCUCCAUGCUCCUGCGGGAGGCCCCAGUAUCGUACCUUCCGCAGUGGGCGAGAGCCUUACGGAGCAACGCGGCGUGAGUUAUGACGGUCUUCCGAUCGUAAAGCUCUGUUAUUAGUGAAGAACAAAUGUGUAAGUAACUAUGCACGUCUUGACGGCACCUGAUCAGAAAGCCACGGCUAACUACGUG
This 497-nucleotide ribosomal RNA is filed under the name uncultured bacterium. RNAcentral's name for it is "partial 16S ribosomal RNA". It matches the Rfam family "Bacterial small subunit ribosomal RNA", at positions 28 to 507 of the family's 1533-position model. The record is from RNAcentral.